This 1243-nucleotide ribosomal RNA is filed under the name metagenome. Its description in RNAcentral is "bacterial LSU rRNA". It matches the Rfam family "Bacterial large subunit ribosomal RNA", at positions 1564 to 2816 of the family's 2925-position model. The record is from RNAcentral.
UGAAUACGAGAUGCUACGGCGUCGAAGCAGUGUAUGUCAGACUUCCAAGAAAAGCUCGCAAUGUCAUAAAUAAAGAAUGCCUGUACCAUAACCGACACAGGUGGGUAGGUAGAGUAUACUAAGGGGCGCGAGAUAACUCUCUCUAAGGAACUCGGCAAAAUAACUCCGUAACUUCGGGAGAAGGAGUGCCUUCUAUUAGAAGGUUGCAAUAACAAGAUCCAAGCAACUGUUUAUCAAAAACACAGGUCUCCGCUAAGUCGUAAGACGAUGUAUGGGGGCUGACGCCUGCCCAGUGCCAGAAGGUUAAAGAAGUUGGUUAGCUUUGGCGAAGCUGAUGACUGAAGCCCUGGUGAACGGCGGCCGUAACAAUAACGGUCCUAAGGUAGCGAAAUUCCUUGUCGGGUAAGUUCCGACCCGCACGAAAGGCGUAAUGAUUUGGAUACUGUCUCGGAGAGGGACUCGGUGAAAUAGACUUGUCUGUGAAGAUGCGGACUACCUGCACCAGGACAGAAAGACCCUAUGAAGCUUUACUGUAACUUGAAAUUGAAAUUGGACUUUAUUUGCGCAGCAUAGGUGGAAGGCGUUGAGAUUACUCUUGCGGGAGUACUGGAGCCAUCAGUGAGAUACCACUCCUAUAAUGUUAGAUUUCUAACUUUGGAUCAUGAUCUGGUCAAAGAACAGUUUCAGGCGGGCAGUUUGACUGGGGCGGUCGCCUCCCAAAUGGUAACGGAGGCGUACAAAGGUUUCCUCUGAACGGGUAGAAAUCGUAUCUAGAGUGUAAAGGCAUAAGGAAGCUUGACUGUGAGACCUACAAGUCGAGCAGGGACGAAAGUCGGUCUUAGUGAUCUGACGGUGCUGAGUGGAAAGGCCGUCACUCAACGGAUAAAAGUUACUCUAGGAUAACAGGCUGAUCUCCCCCAAGAGUUCACAUCGACGGGGAGGUUUGGCACCUCGAUGUCGGCUCAUCGCAUCCUGGGGCGGUAGUACGUCCCAAGGGUUGGGCUGUUCGCCCAUGAAAGCGGUACGCGAGCUGGGUUCAGAACGUCGUGAGACAGUUCGGUCCAUAUCCGGUGUAGGCGUUAGAAUAUUGAGAGGAGCCUUCUUUAGUACGAGAGGACCGAGAAGGACAUACCUCUGGUGUACCAGUUAUCGUGCCAACGGCAAACGCUGGGUAGCUAUGUAUGGAGAGGAUAACCGCUGAAAGCAUCUAAGUGGGAAGCCCACCUCAAGAUGAGUAUUCUCA